UCUACAAGUAUCAACAAGCCAAUUCUUGGGGAUGAUGUCCCAAAGGCUUCAGAUGUUGCACCCGAAGGGGGACCUUCUUUCCGCCCAAAGGGAAAGGGAAACAUGAAACCAUCUGAUGACGAUGAUGAGAAGAAGACCAAUGAAGGAAAGAGCAGCAAGUCUGGUGGUGUGGAUGAUGCCUAAUGAAGCAGCCGUCGAAUAAUAAAAUUAAUGUUGUCUUGAAAUAAAGUUGUUGUUGUGUCUUUCCAUGCUCAUUUCAUAUUCCUAGUGUUUGUUGUUUAAUUUGGUCAAGCGUCGGUCAUGUUUGUUGUUGUGUCUUAAACCUAAAUAAUGGAAUGUUUAUUUGCUAAUAUAUGGAAAACUAUGAUGCAUAUAUUAUUUGCUAAUUUCUUUUCACACACCUCUUUACUUGAUAUUACGUUGUGAGGGAUAUACAUAGCAUAACCUAAUGGAGUUCCUUCUGCGCCUGUUAACAGACACAUCACUGUCUUUUUCGCCAUAUCUGAUCCUUCUUCCAGCUCCAUGUUAGACGACAAACUCCGAUUGAAAAUAGACAAAAAGCUUGCGAUAUAGACCUUAUGAAAGUGUUAUUAAAAAUUAGUUAUACAUUGGUGAUGAAAUAUAUUUUGAAUAUUCAUUUCACAAAGAAAUAAACUAUUGAAAACAUGUUGCUUCAUUGUCUGAAAAAGUCAAAUUUUGAAGAAAAAAAAGACUAAUCAUUAGAGACCUCUAAAAUCCCAAUUGUCAACCAAAUGAAACUAACCUUAGGCCGUUAAUGAUUUAACCACAACGUUAACACGCAUGCAUGUAACCACAACGUUAAUGGUUAACAACAAGCUUACAACAACCUUAAUAAAGUGGCGAGACUUACAUCAAAGACACAAAAUCUAGAAAUGAUUGGAACUUGACUUGAAAAGAUCCAAACGCAUAAGGUUCUUCUUGUUAAUAAACAUGAACCAUUUAGAUUUUCAAUAUACUAAUACAAACUAAGACAAAUAUCUUCUCCAAUCACCACCCCAAAUCAUUACCAAACGCACAACUGUAACUAAGCAAGAAGUACAUUAGGACCAAUCUCUUAAUCGUUGUCACGGAUUGGUCGCGUGUCAAUCAAGAUCAUCAAGAUCACUUUUAUGUCUUAGUGCUUCUUCUUCUUCUUCUUCUUGUUAUUAUUAUAUUUUGGUUUCUUGAGCAAAAAGUGUUAUGUUGUGAUCUUCAUUUGCCUUAGAGACAGAUAAGCUAGGAGGCGGUAACCGAAGAUCAUGGCAACGAGUGCAACCACUUCAGUCAGUCCAUUGUCUAUUCUCAUCCCGUUGAUAGAUUGAGCAAAGUCUUUAUACUGCACUUUAAGAAGAAGCUUGUAGGUGUGGUAAUUGAAGGAUAGGUAACGUAUCCAGGAGAUGAACACCGGUACUUUCUGAAGGACACAAAACAAAAGAGCUCAGAAACAGAGGAAAUCAAGAAACAAAGGAAAUCAAGAAACAGAGAACUUACCUUAACAAAGAAUCCUCCUGCGAGCAUAAAUGUCAUGACAGUAACUGAAGCCAAAGUCGUAGCCUUCUUUAAGUCCAUUAAGAUUGCUCCAAUAGCAAGUCCAAGUCCCUAGCAAAGAGUAAACAUAACUCAAACUCACCAUUUUGAUCUUACUUUCCCAUUAUAGAAAUGUGUUUUUUGGUCAAUCAGAACAUACCUGAGAUGCAAUGAUGCAAAGGAAGACCGUGAGCAUGCUCAAGAAGAAAGGAUACGGGCUAAGACGAAGACCAGUCAUGAAAUAGACCACGAGGAGGAAGAGAGAAGGCAGGAUAAAGUCUAGAGGGAGAUCACUCGUGGUCCUAGCCAAGAAAUACGCACUUAGUCUAUACAUAUCAGCUGCUCUCUCUUUAUUCAGCAUAGCUCGCUCUUGAGGGAACGCAAAGAUGGCUGUGAAAACAGGGAAGAACCCCCAGAAAACCGCUAUGAAGAAGAGCAAACCAGCCUGUAAACAACAAAAAAGAUCAUGUGAUAUUCAUGUUUCUUGAGGUACAAGGCAGAGAGGAGUGUGCAUCAAGAUACCUACCUGAUCUUGUAGUCCUCUUGGAGUGCGAAUAUCUGACUGCCACCAGAGAAGACCUAGAAUAACAGCUGUGGAUAAAACUUGUGUGACACGCAACCAGCUGAAGUAUUCGUGUCUGCGCUCUUUGAGUCCUCUAGAGAAGAGUAUGCAGUAUUGCUCCCACCAGCUCGCUCCCCAUUGUCUCUUUAGACGCAGAACUUUAGCUUUAGCUUCUUCGUCAAGUGGAACAGGAUCAGAUAGUUUCUUCUUCUCCUGUUCUGCAACCCUAGUCUCGUAUGCCUCCACCAGAUACUGCUUAGAAUGUUCCAAUAUAUAUUAAAACUCAUUUUGUUCCUUUUUAAUGAAUUUUAAAUUUAUUCACAUAAAAAAAACCUUGUUACAAUAGAUGUAUUGUUUGCUAAAGAAUUUAGAAAAAAGAGUUCUUUAAGUUUUUUGAAUGAAUUUUUUUACAUCUUUCAUUAUUGUUUGCUAAAGAAUUUAGAAAAAAAAUAAUCUUUAAUAUAAUUUUUUGAAUGAAUUUUUUUACAUAUUUGAUUAAUUUUUUAUGAAAGAGUAGUCUCUCUAUUUUAUUUUUUUAAACUCAAUUUGGUUUUCAGACAAUCUUAAGUUGUUGUUUGUGUGAUUACCUCAUGGACAGCAGCAGGAGAUGGCUUGCCAGUUUGAGGUUCUCUGCCUGAGUUUCCUACUUGAACUCUAUCUUCCAAAUCAGAAGGCACAGAGAUGUCGUUGAUGUUACCGUUGGCGAGAUCAAGCAAGAACUCAGCAGGGUUCAUGGUGAUAAGAGGAGAGCAACCAAUGGAAGAAAAGUAAACAAGAGCUUCUGAUGAUUUCCCAAAAUAGAGAAGGUUUCCUCUUCCUAAUAGAAUCAGCUUAUCGAAUCUAUGGAAGAGUCUACUAGAUGGCUGAUGUAUCGUUGUGAUCACUGUCUUCCCCGCCUGUUCCAAACACACAUCAAGAUUCAGACAACCAUCAAAGAGAGUAGUAGAGAGAUACAAAGUGUCUGAAACAAGCAAACCUCAGCGAUGUCGUGGAGCAUCUGGAUGGUUCUUAGAGCAGUGGUGGAGUCUAAACCGGAAGUUGGUUCAUCAAGAAGUAAUAGAGAAGGGUUAAUGAUGAUCUCGUUUCCAAUGGAAACUCUUUUCCUCUCUCCACCUGAUACACCUCUCACGAAUGCUCCACCAAUCAUAGUGUCUUGACACCUCUCCAGACCUAGCUCUUGGAUAACUUCAAUAGCACGCUGCUCCUUUUGCUCCCUUGUGAGAGUUUUAGGUAGACGCAAACGAGCAGCGUAGGUUAGCGUUUCUUUAACCGUAAGAUGAGGAAACAGAACAUCGUCUUGAGUCACAAACCCAAUCCUGCCAUCAAACCAGAAAAAAAAAAUUGAGUCUCCAUAUAUACAAUAAUACAAGAGAGUUUAGGGUUUAGGGCAAAAAGAUACUUACUUGCUUUUCAAGUAUUUAGAGUAAGGCUUGUCGUUGUAAGUAACAGAGCCUCCACUGGCGGAUUGAGAGAUUCGGCCACCGAGUAAGCUAAGAAGAGUUGUUUUGCCACUCCCUGAAGGACCCAUGAGUCCUCAGAGUUUUGAAGUCUUUCAUGCCAAAAUUAGGACCAUGACCUCAUCGAUGGAAACAUAUGGACCAAAUGUCUCAAGUUCAGAUGUUACAAGUAUGAAUCACUUUCUAAGUUCGUCGGUUCAUUCUAUUGGUGGUAAUAUGGUCAUGCCUAGCAAGUGGAUUGCAGAAGCAAUGGAUAUUGGCUGCUGCAAACUCAAAACCUGAUAAGCAAACUGUCUUUUCCCUUAUGUUUCAGCCAAACGAAGAAGAGAUAGUUCUUGUCCCAAAAAGGGACAAUGAGAUUUGGUUUGGCUGUAAACAGGCAACUCAUCUUUGGCUCAUCCUUUCAUUAAGUUUGUUUACUUCGUCUGUUUUCUUAUACACAUCUUCAAGACUGGUGAGUAAAACCAUGGUUUAGCUUGAGUUUCAAGUAUAACUACUGAAGAAACAAUGAUUGGUUUGCUACUACCCUCUUGUUCCAACCAGUUUGUGUUUGUGGGAUAAAAAUACUCAGUUUGCCAGAUUAAUGAUGUUGUCUUGUGUGCAUGUGUUUUUGAAGAAAAAAAAAAGAAUAAAGAACUCUUCCUUUAACCUUUCCAUAGUUUAAGAGCUUUAUCAAGACCACCAGAAGCUACUUUCUCACCAUCUGGACUCCAAUCCACAGCCCAAACCUUUCCAACACAACAAAAAAAACGAAAAAUUAUGAGAGAAAAGAGUGUAAAAAAAAAAAGCAAAACCAACAACUUGAGCUUUGAAGUAGUUUGAUACCUCAUCCUUAUGACCAGGGAGAUCAUGUUUUAGCUUUUUUGUUCCAAUCUCCCAUACCUGUCAAAGUCAAACAUAUUGAGGUUUAUUUGGUAGUUCUACUCUCUACUGUGUUAUCAAAUGUAAAAACAGGAUUUCACCUUGAGAGUUGAAUCUUUGCUGCAACUCAAAAGCAUCCUACUGUCAGGUGACCAACUGAUCUGAUAGACACAGUUAGCGUGGCCUCGGAAUGCUGUAAUAAAUUUUCCUGUGACACCAUCCCAUAGCUUCACAGAUUUAUCGAACGAUGCACUUGCAAUCCAUUGCCCAUUUGGUGAGAAAUACACAUGGUUUACAAGCUGUUUAUUGAGUUGACACCAAACAAAAUGUAAGAGUUCAAAAAUAAAAACAGAAACAAAAAAAAAAAAAAAAGUUUAGUAGCUAGUAGUAACCUGUUGAUGACCAGUACCAACCUGGCUGUAGUAACCAUUUUUUGUUUAGGUUGUAAGCUAACGGAUGGUUCCCAAAGGAUUAUCGUAAAAUCAUCAGAACCAGACACUAAUCUUUCAGGAGAAUCUACUUUCCCUUUUGCUUUGAUGUAUCUUUCAAGUGCAAUCUUACCACACAUAUAGGGAGAGGAUCAGAAUCAGGCUAGAAAAAGACGAGGCAAAGCCAGUAGAAUCAUCAGAAGCUUAUUGUUACCUUUUUCAUUUCUUCAUCUGAACCUGUUACUUGUCUAGUGUUGUCAAACGCUCCUGUCCGAAGAACAUAUUCUGUACUCAAUGAAAGGGAGUUCACCCAACCGGCAUGGUCCUGAAGAAGCAAGUAACUUGAGAAAUGUUAUCUUAAAGUAAAGACCUAGGAGACAAAAAAAAGUUACCUUCAAUAUAUGUUUGAGGAUUCCUUGACCCUGCUGAGUGAUCUCCCACAUCCUUAUGGUACUAUCUUGUGAACUGCACAAUAACAUGUUAACAAGAUAAAACACCAAUAAGAAACAUUUCAGGUUAUUAUAAAAAUGUAUGUACCCUGUGUAUAUAGUUCCAUCACCACCCCAUUUGACACAGGUCACAGCUCGUGUGUGUCCACUGAGGACAAUAAGAGUUCUCUUCAGUGUAAAGUCCCAGAUCCUUGCAUCCCCAUCUUUGCCACAAGUCACAAAUCUCCUGCUUGGAUAACUAAGAUGAGCUGGUUCCCACGCGAUACCACAAAUCCACUUCUUGUGACCCUACGAAAAAUUGAAGAUCUAUCAGUAAACACACACAAAAAAAAACAUAACCAACAAAACAUUUAUAAAGUAAAGAAGAGUUUAACUGAAAGUGCAUUGCCCUGUAAUUCUCCUUUGCUUGGAUCCCAACAACAGACUUUUCCAUCUCUAUCACCGCUCACAAGACACUUUGCAUCUGGUGACCAUGCAACUGCGAGAACAUGUUCCUUGUGCCCUGAACAAACGUUACAGGAACUAUGUUUAUUACAAGAAAUCUAAAUAUAGAUAGACAUCAUUAAAAAGAAAAUCAUAAGACGUUUCGAACCUUUGCAUGUAAACAUUGGAGUUUCAGUGUUGAGAUCCCAAAGCCUUACAGUUUUAUCACCUGAACCACUUGCUAGUUGCUUACCGUCAGGGCUAAACGAAACACAGAGAAUCUCACCCUCAUGAACUAACAAAAGCCAAUCAUAAUCACUCGAACCAUCUCUUCUAAAACUCAAAUACAAAAAUCAACAUUAACUUUAACAUAUAAUAUAUAUAUACCAUCGCUUAUUGUCUGUGAGCAACGGUAAACCGGGCGAAUCCUGAAAACAGCUUGUUGUCGAUAAACAAUCUUCAAAACAUUCUCCACGGACACUAAACCACACAUGUUCAUGUCAAAACAUUAAUAAAAAAUAUACUAAGAUAAUGUUUUCUAUAGAAAACAUAAGAGACCAAACUGCUUUGCUUAUUAUUAGGGUUUUACCGCUAUUUCUCUCCAUGCAAGUUCCCACUGAGACAAGAAGCUCUUCAUCUGAUACAUAGAAGCUGUAAGAUAACUUCUCCUCCUGGAUAUUAUCAAUUUCCCAUGAAGUCAUUUCAAUAUUAGGUUCGGUAAGUAUAAUCAAUAUCAGAUUCGAAAGGAUAGAAGAAUAUACAUUGUUGAGAAACGUAUUGACCAAGUUGGUGAGCUGCAAAUGCCCUGCGUUGUGAGGGAUAUACAUAGCAGAACCUAGUGGAGUUCCUUCUGCGUCUGUUAACAGACACAUCACUGUGUUCAUCGCCAUCUCCGACGCUUCCGGCUCUAUGUUCGACGACAAACUCCGAUGGAAAAUAGACAAAGGCUUUUGCGAUAUAAAUAUAAACCCUAAAAGUAAAAGUUAUUUAUUUAAGUAAAUCCUCCAAAUUAACCCUCUAUUUAUAAAUAAACCCCAAAUUUUCCUUUUGAAGUCUUAUAACCCCUAAAUUACAAUUGCCAACCUAAAUGUUUUCAUGUAACGCCGUUAAUGAUUUAACCACGACGUGGUUAACACGCAUUUAACAUUAGAGAUCUUAAACUGCAAAGGAUUUAACCACAGUGUGGUAUUUUUUUUUUGGUAAGUGGGCUUUAAUUGUUGGUUAGCAUACAACUGUCAUUCUCGGAGAUUUGGACUUUAAAGGUAGGUAGGUACAUGUGCUAGUAGUUAACAAACAAACACACACUUAACAGUAGUUCAAACGCAACAACUCAGAAACUUCAGUUUUGUGUCUUUAUCCCAUCCUCUCAACUCUCUCUAUAAAUAAGAUUUCAAGUGCAUGCAUGUCUAUCUAUAUUUCAACAUCACAAAUACAAAAGAAAGAAACUCAAAGCGACGGCCAUGGCAAAAGUUGGGGAUCUAGAGACAUGCAUCAAUAACAGAAUUAAAGAGAUCGAGGAGGAAGAAGAACGUAAUUUGAAGAUACUUAAGGAGUUGGAGACUCAGAUCAUGUCCCCAACGGAAAAAGGUCGUAGCCUUUGAUCACCUUUCUCAAACCGAUAUUGAUUAAAAAAUUCUUUCUUUUUUUUGAGAUUGAGAUUGAUAAUUUAAGAUUGAUAAUUUAGGUACGCAACAUCCGUCUACAAGUAUCAACAAGCCAAUUCUUGGGGAUGAUGUCCCAAAGGCUUCAGAUGUUGCACCCGAAGGGGGACCUUCUUUCCGCCCAAAGGGAAAGGGAAACAUGAAACCAUCUGAUGACGAUGAUGAGAAGAAGACCAAUGAAGGAAAGAGCAGCAAGUCUGGUGGUGUGGAUGAUGCCUAAUGAAGCAGCCGUCGAAUAAUAAAAUUA
RNAcentral lists this long non-coding RNA (7615 nucleotides) under Brassica napus (rape). RNAcentral's name for it is "long non-coding RNA (BNAP_LNC008988)". The record is from RNAcentral. Lineage: Eukaryota; Viridiplantae; Streptophyta; Magnoliopsida; Brassicales; Brassicaceae.